RNAcentral lists this ribosomal RNA (610 nucleotides) under uncultured archaeon. RNAcentral describes it as "bacterial SSU rRNA". It matches the Rfam family "Archaeal small subunit ribosomal RNA", at positions 320 to 930 of the family's 1478-position model. The record is from RNAcentral.
GCUCUACGGGGUGCAGCAGGCGCGAAAACUUUACAAUGCUGGGAACAGCGAUAAGGGAACCUCGAGUGCCAGGUUACAAAUCUGGCUGUCGUGAUGCCUAAAAAGCAUUAUAUAGCAAGGGCCGGGCAAGACCGGUGCCAGCCGCCGCGGUAACACCGGCGGCUCGAGUGGUAACCGUUAUUAUUGGGUCUAAAGGGUCUGUAGCCGGCCGGAUAAGUCUCUUGGGAAAUCUGGCAGCUCAACUGUCAGGCUUUCAGGGGAUACUGUCUGGCUCGAGGCCGGGAGAGGUGAGAGGUACUUCAGGGGUAGGGGUGAAAUCUUGUAAUCCUUGAAGGACCACCAGUGGCGAAGGCGUCUCACCAGAACGGACCUGACGGCAAGGGACGAAAGCUAGGGGCACGAACCGGAUUAGAUACCCGGGUAGUCCUAGCCGUAAACGAUACUCGCUAGGUGUCGGCCACGGUGCGACCGUUGUCGGUGCCGUAGGGAAGCCGUGAAGCGAGCCACCUGGGAAGUACGGCCGCAAGGCUGAAACUUAAAGGAAUUGGCGGGGGAGCACCACAACGGGUGGAGCUUGCGGUUUAAUUGGAUUCAACGCCGGAAAUCUUAC